Molecule: ribosomal RNA, 253 nt
Filed under: uncultured bacterium
Lineage: Bacteria
Description: partial 16S ribosomal RNA
Rfam family: Bacterial small subunit ribosomal RNA
Source: RNAcentral
GACGUAGGAGGCGAGCGUUGUCCGGAUUCAUUGGGCGUAAAGAGCACGCAGGCGGUUUGGCAAGUCGGAUGUGAAAACCCGAAGCUCAACUUCGGGCCUGCAUCCGAAACUGCCCGACUAGAGGUAGGUAGGGGAGAUCGGAAUUCCUGGCGUAGCGGUGAAAUGCGCAGAUAUCAGGAGGAACACCGGUGGCGAAGGCGGAUCUCUGGGCCUUACCUGACGCUCAGGUGCGAAAGCUAGGGGAGCGAACAGG